RNAcentral lists this ribosomal RNA (459 nucleotides) under uncultured bacterium. RNAcentral describes it as "partial 16S ribosomal RNA". It matches the Rfam family "Bacterial small subunit ribosomal RNA", at positions 338 to 795 of the family's 1533-position model. The record is from RNAcentral.
CCUACGGGAGGCAGCAGUGAGGAAUAUUGGUCAAUGGGCGUAAGCCUGAACCAGCCAAGUCGCGUGAGGGAUGAAGGUUCUAUGGAUCGUAAACCUCUUUUAUAAGGGAAUAAAGUGCGGGACGUGUCCCGUUUUGUAUGUACCUUAUGAAUAAGGAUCGGCUACCUCCGUGCCAGCAGCCGCGGUAAUACGGAGGAUGCGAGCGUUAUCCGGAUUUAUUGGGUUUAAGGGGUCCGUAGGGGGAAUGCCAAGUAAGGGGUAAAAUCUCGGGGCUCAACCUCGCUCCGCCGUUGAAACUGGCGUUCUUGAGUGGGCGAGAGGUAUGCGGAAUGUGUGGUGUAGCGGUGAAAUGCAUAGAUAGCACGCAGAACUCCGAUUGCGAAGGCAGCAUACCGGCGCCCAACUGACGCUGAGGCACGAAAGCGUGGGUAUCGAACAGGAUUAGAUACCCUGGUAGUC